Schistocerca gregaria is the source of this 283-nucleotide long non-coding RNA. RefSeq lists it as uncharacterized. The record is from RefSeq and is a predicted model, not a curated record. The transcript is spliced from 3 exons. NCBI's taxonomy places the organism in Eukaryota, Metazoa, Arthropoda, Insecta, Orthoptera, Acrididae.
UGCCGUCCCGUGACGGCAGUGCGGUUGCCGCCACUCGAAAUGCAUUUCAUUAUGUAUUGACGGGACAGCCAAUAUGAAUUGACCUUUAUUGUUGCAGUGUUUAUUUCUGCCGUUUAUUUUAAAAAAAUCAUCGUAUUCUUCAGUGUAGCUCACUGAGCGCAUGACGCACUACUGUCGCAGUGUAUAAAAAAAAUAAGGCUGGUGGUUCAUCAGGAUUAUUGAUGGAUUUGGCAGCAAAUGAAAAAGCUGUGCAUGCAGAUUUCUUUAAUGAUUUUGAGGAUCU